UAUCUCUGUAGAGUCUGCAUAUCAAUAAGCGGAGGAAAAGAAACUAACUAGGAUUCCCUCAGUAACGGCGAGUGAAGCGGGAAGAGCUCAAAUUUGAAAUCUUCAAGGUGUCUACCUUGACGAAUUGUAGUUUAAAGAAGUGUUUUCUGUUGGAGUUUUGGUAAAAGUUCUUUGGAAUAGGACAUCAUAGAGGGUGAGAAUCCCGUAUUUGACCAUUAUUUCCAGCUUUGUGAUACACUUUCAAAGAGUCGGAUUGUUUGGGAAUGCAGUCCAAAAUGGGUGGUAAAUUUCAUCUAAAGCUAAAUACUGGCGAGAGACCGAUAGCGAACAAGUACCGUGAGGGAAAGAUGAAAAGAACUUUGAAAAGAGAGUUAAACAGUACGUGAAAUUGUCAAAAGGGAAGCGUUUGACACCAGUGUUGUUCUUCUCGAAAAUCAAUUAAAAAAGGCAGGAUUUUGUGUUGUAUUGACUUUAUCAGCUUUCUGCACUCUUUUCCUUGUCUUUUUUAAUGCACUUUUCGUUUAACAAGUCAACAUCAAUUUCUUUUGUUGUAAAAGGGUCAUUGGAAGGUGGCUUUCUUUUCGGAGAAAGUGUUUAUAGCCUUUGGCCUCUGCAAUCGGAGAGAUUGAGGUCUGCAGCGUAGAUCCUUCGGGGUUAGAUACAUUUGUGCUAAGUUAUAGCCUUUCAUAGACAACUUGUUGACUAUGAUCAGUCAUGUAGCUUACUCGCUUAUGCUAUUUUACCUACGCUUAGGAUGUUGAAGUCAUCGUAUCGCGC
RNAcentral lists this ribosomal RNA (777 nucleotides) under uncultured Neocallimastigales. RNAcentral's name for it is "partial large subunit ribosomal RNA". It matches the Rfam family "Eukaryotic large subunit ribosomal RNA", at positions 24 to 645 of the family's 3401-position model. The record is from RNAcentral. Lineage: Eukaryota; Fungi; Neocallimastigomycota; Neocallimastigomycetes; Neocallimastigales.